RNAcentral lists this ribosomal RNA (490 nucleotides) under uncultured bacterium. RNAcentral describes it as "partial 16S ribosomal RNA". It matches the Rfam family "Bacterial small subunit ribosomal RNA", at positions 30 to 507 of the family's 1533-position model. The record is from RNAcentral.
AUUGAACGCUGGCGGCAUGCCUUACACAUGCAAGUCGAACGGCAGCAUGAUCUAGCUUCCUAGAUUGAUUGCGAGUGGCGCACGGGUGUGUAAUAUAGCUGAACUUGCUCUGUAGCGGGGGUUAACUAGUCGAAAGAUUAGCUAUUACCGCAUACGACCUGAGGGUGAUGGUUGGGGACUGCAAGGCGGUAUUCUAUAGAAUUGUCCGAUGAUUGAUUAGCUAGUUGGUAAGGUAAAGGCUCACCAAGGCGACGAUCAGUAGCUGAUCUGAGAGGACGAUCAGCCACACUGGAACUGAGACACGGCCCAGACUCCUACGGGAGGCAGCAGUGGGGAAUUUUGGACAAUGGGCGAAAGCCUGAUCCAGCAAUGCCGCGUGUGUGAAGAAGGCCUUCGGGUUGUAAAGCACUUUUGUCCGGAAAGAAAAGGCUCUGGUUAAUCCCUGGGGUCGAUGACGGUACCGGAAGAGUAAGGACCGGCUAACUACGUG